CGUGAUCAACAAUGGCAUGUGGGCACACUUCAAUUGCUGAUACUGCUGCUGUUGCUGCUGCUCGAUCAAAUGUUUCACACGAGCGUACCUUGGUGAGCGUCGAGUAUGUACGUGUGAACAAUAUUGAUAAAGAGACUCCUGGUCACCUCUACGGAACUGUGAAGGUCAAGGACUUUUGGGGUCUUCAUACGGUGUAUGAUCGGAGUUCAAGUGACUACGAGAGCAAAGGUCCUGGCGAAUUUGCCACAUUGACAGGCCCUUCUGAUGCUAUUUCGGGCUAUGGUGUAUUUGUUAUCAGCGUCAGUUUGUGGGACCACGACAGCUUGUCCCCCAAGGAUGAGAUUGCUCAAGGCGACAUCGUGUGGGAAUCAAGAAACGAGAAUCUAACUUUCGCCAAUUACGACAAGCGUUUGGAGAAGGUUGUGUUUGGUCAAUAAGGCAGUGUUGCUGUGGGUUACUCCGUAGUAAGAUAUGCUCUUAACGCCACUGUCAAUGUUUUGCUGAUCAACGGGGAUAAUGAAACGCCGGCGGAUGUGCAUGGAACAAUUAAAGCUUCGCAGGUUAUAGGGGAAUCAGAGACAUCCCUCACAUUGUUUGAGAAAUCAUCUGGUGAAUAUGUCUAAGCGAAUCCCAAUCAAUCUCUUCCCUUGACUCGCUCGGUUGUGGUAGCACCAGUGAGUUCCGGAUUAACAAUCACGAUAGAUUUGUGGAAUUAUGAUAUGUUGUCACCUGAUGACCAAAUUGCCAAGGGAAGUGCACACUUUGAUGCAGUGGUCGGAACCCAAACCAAGAGCAUAUAUGGUGAAUAUGGUGAAGUGCAAGUAUCCGUCACUUGCUAGUAAUGGUGGAAGCAACACUCCCAUUGCCCAACCUUGCCUGUCGAUUUGUCGGUUGGGAUACAUUGUAAAUAAAUGGGGUGGGAAGGGUAGGAAUAUUGUUAUGCUGUUAUAUAUAUAUAUAUAUAUAUAAAGUUGUGUCACUGUUAGUUUUCAAAUAUAAUAAUAAGUUGUGAUUGUAACUGUUUCCGAACUCCAAAUGUCAACAAUAUUCAAGCCAAAAUUGAAGACUUCCUAGAUUUAAUUUUUGAAAAGAAGACUACAGAAGGAAAAACAGAACAAUUUUGGUUAAGAAUAAAUAAGGUGGAGAGCAUCAUUAUAAUCCUUGAUGAUGUUUGGGAAGAACUUGACUUGAAGGCUAUAGGAAUUCCAUUGGGUGAAGAUCACAAUAGUUGCAAAAUUCCAUUCGAUCUCAUGUAAUUGGUGUUUUCCCUACUAUCUUCGGUAUUUCUUCUAUUCUUUUUCUCAUCUUUAAAUUUUAUCUCCUACUUAAAAUCGUUUUACGAUUGCAUCUCCAUCUUAAUUUUAAAGAUUAAAACUCACUUCAUAUUUAUAAAGCCAUAUUACUUUGUCACUAUGAAUUUCUACCCAUUAAAAACUCUUAAUCAUUAAGUAUAUUUAUCCUUUUAAAUAAACUUAAUCACUAAAUAAUUUUUGAUUAAUGAAAUUUUACCGAUUCCCAAUUAGAAUUUAAAUAAAAUAUCUAACACAUUCACAUGGAAUUGUCCCUAGCUAGUAGUAAACAAAAAUCCUCACAUCUGUAAACAUUAUAUUUGAAGGUACUACUGAACUAUAGCAACUAUUUGGAGAUAUGAAGAUGAAGAUUUGGAUUGUCUUAGACUGACAAAUUUCACCACUCAAAAAGAAGUUUUCUUUUUUUUGAAAGGUAAUUAAGAUAUCAUUAAUAUUAUGCUUUACAAAAGAAGCCAUGAAGGGCAAUGAGCUGCAGAUCAAGCAGCAUCAAGACAGACUAUACAAGCUCAAAAACAACCUCAGGUUGUAAUAGGAUCAAAAGGACAACCAUCAAGAACCAACAUAUCAAGAAGGUCACCACGGCAGGAAAAAAACAGACCAAUCAUCACAGCACAACCCAAGGAAAUAAAAAACAGGUCAAUCUGUACAAAACAAUAUCCUGUCAACCCGAGUCAGCAGAAGCCUUUGUCAAAUCCAAGACCCAGCAAAAACAAAGCUUGAAGAUCUCAAAAGCAAGAAGAAAAAAAACCAAGGAAUGUUAUGUCAACCGGAGAAGGUUUCGAAGGUUUCAAUCAAGUCAUUUUCGUGCAAUAUUCCCCCCCUUUGGCAGAUCAUUAGCGGCCUAAUUGAACGAACAGGUUCAACAAAAGAUACUUUUUUAAGAAAAAAAUUGUUCAAUUUAGAAUAUGAUCUCAUAAGAAUGAGAGUGUUACUUAUUUAACUAAAAUGGUAGAAAAGCUCAUGUUAAUCCCUUGUCGUGUUGGCAUUUAAAGGAUACAUGGAAAAUAUGAUGUGGCAACGUUGGCAUUUAUAAGACAAGUGGAAAACAUGAGGUGGCAAUAAUGGACACAUGGCAUGUUAAAAUAAAAAAUAAAAGGUUUACUGAUUUAAUCUGAAAAAAAAAGCAAAUAACCACAGAAAAAAUCAAUUAAUAGAAAUCAAAUCCAGAAAAAAAAAACACUCAAAAGAAUCAAGAAACCAUAAAUUCUCUCCAUUUUUAUCUUUCUAGACCUUCAAUGGAAGAAGAAAUGUUGGGUGCUUUUCAGAUUUCUAACAUUUAAAACCCAAAAUCUAUUUCUAAAAUUUAAAAUUCGCAUCGUUUUUAUUGCAAUAUCAUAUUUUCCAUGUGUCCUGUAAAUGUCAGCAUGUUAAAGGGUUAAUGGUCAUCUAUGCUUUUCAUCCAAAAAUACUCUUACAUAUUGGAAAAUAGAUUUAAUUGGAUAUAAUAAAAAGAUAUGAAUUUAUUUAAUUGACUUUUGUAAUUGAGUUUAAUAAAGUAAACUUAUAGUCGAACGAAUAUUAAGGUAAUCGCUUGAUUUAUGAUUAAUUAGAUGCAUAAAGUGAUAUGUGUUCUUUCUUUGGGAUUUAAAACACUUUUCUUUUCAAUAUUCAAGUUACAAUAUCUUGGACCUUUGUACUUUAAUUUAAUUUCUAAUGGAAUUAUGAUAUUUUUAUGUCUUUGCAGCAAGUAUAUCAAGCUGAGUUGUAAUUGAGCAAUGCGUAUUCUGUGCUGGAAUGUGAUUGAUGCUGCUGCUCUUUUGAUGCUUUGAUGUGCACUUCGGUUAUCAGGCUGCUGUAUCUCUCUAACUUGGGAAAUGACGAGGGGUGCGAUACAAUUAAUUUCCAAUUACGACGUAGUUUAGCAAAUUUGGAAUAUGUGACAGUAGGAAACUAUGUGAAUAUAUUUCAAAUUCAAGCUGGACACUUCUUGUCAAGGCGAGAGCAUAUAUCCCUAUGGCAUUUACAUCAGUUGCAGGGUCCAAUCCAAGUUCCAAGCCUUCAAUGCCUUAGAAUUUUAAAGGUGUCAGAAUGUAAUAGGUUGAAAUUUCUCCUCUCUCCUAUGCUUGCUCGAUAAAAAUCUAUGGUCUAUCGUCUCAAUUUCUUUCAUCACUUCCAGCCUCCAUUCUUUCCAACAUCGGUUUCCAAGUUUUUAACCAUAGGAUUAGUUUCAACAGGUAGACCUAAAUAUGUAGUGGGAAAUUCUCCGACUCUGCACCUUACAGCCUCCGCCCAAACAUUAAGAACAAUGCUAUCAACAUCAAGUCCAUACAAAAAGCUCUUGCUGAAAUUUAUUUUAAGACUAGACACCAUUUGAAAACAUCGAAACACCCUUCUAAUAUAUUUUUUUGAAAGAUAGUUUUACUCGCAUCAGUGCUAGUGUGCCAUCCAUAAUCUCAAAUCUUUUGGUUUAAGACUAUUGUUGGCAUCAACCUAACCUGAGCUUCAAAAGACAAAGACUAUUCACACCUCAUUCUGCUGAAAAGACUUUGGUAGAAGUCUGUCCUAACCUGGCAGAAGCACCCUCCUAAUAUUAACAAGAUGCUCUAGUUUUACUUAUCGAAUCGUAUCAUCCGCAAAUUGUAAGUAAGAAAUUUGGCUCUCAUUUGUACCCAUUAGAAAUUCCUGACAAAGAUGUUUUCUUCGUUCGAACCAUUAAAACACUCAAAGAUUCUGUAAUCAUAUUGAAAAGAAAGAGAAAAAAAGAACACCCUUAUUUUAAGCCUCUCUUUAAAUUAAUUGAUUUGGUCGGUAACCCAUUAACCAAAAUUGAGACUUUAGCAAUUGUGAUACAAUCUUCAAUCCACCUCUUCCAUUUAUCUCCAUUAAGGUAUGCUUCAUUAAAAUAAUUCGAAGAAAGCUUGUUGAUCUCUUUUUUACUUUCAAUGUCUUUAAUGAUUAUAUCUUGAAAUCUUACGAAAAGACAUUUAAGAGCACAUACAUGAAGUCAAUUUUUCAUAAUUAGAAUUCAAUAUGGUAUUAGGUAUUAUUAGCGGAUUCAGCUUUGUUCAAUUUAUUCAUAUUUUUAUUAAAUAAAUUAUAAUAUAAUACAAUAAUAUUGAUUAUUUAAUUUUUGACCCUAUAAAUGUUCAAUAAUAUACUAUGUGUAGCAUUUUAGUAUGAUAUAAUUUUUAUAUUAGAUUCUAAAAUAUGUGUAUAAAUAUAUAUUAAAAUUUUAUUCUAAAUUUCUAACGUUUAUUAUAAAAUUUCAUCAUUUUUUACACAUUUUUUUUACCAAUAACUGUAGAUAUUUUUAUAUUUGUCCAUAUAUGCAUCCAUUAUCCGUGAAUGGUUGGUUGUUUUGGGUGCUCUUAUCCUUUGGUCAUAUCCGGUAAGUAGCUAGAGAGAUACUUUUCUAUGAAAGUCAUUGAAUCGAGCAAGCAAGUAUGUGGGGAAUAAAUGGACCACAUGGGAAAAAUGAUUGCAAAAUGAAAAAAAUACAAAGGACAGCAACAGAGGGAUCACAGGGAAAGAUGAUUGCAAAAUGACAAAAAUAAAAAGGACGGAGAAACAGAGGGAUCACAGGGAAAGAUGAUUGCAAAAUGACAAAAAUAAAAAGGACGGCAACAGAGGCAUCACAUCAAUUAUUCAAUAAUUUCUAUAUUCCAAGUGUUUUUGCUACCUGAAGAAGAAUCAUCUGUUGUUUCUUAAUUCCCUCUGCUAGUGGGCUUCUGAUUAUUUCUACUUGCGUUUUCUUUUUAUCAAAAUACAAGCUUAACCUUAUUGUAUUUAUUUGCUUCGGUCUGUAUUUCUACUUUAUAAAAUUUUAUUAAUACAUAUAUGAAAUAAAAGGCUGCUCCUAAUGCCUUAUUUUUUUCCCAAUCAGUUGACGAAAUAAAAUAAAUAAAUUAGAUUUGAGUCAACCCCAAAUUAAAUAAAAAAAUAAUUUUCUUUUUAUCAAAUCAACUCUCCGAUUUGAAUUGUGACACAAUCAAACCCAAAUUAGUUUCAAUGACAUAGUGCUUACAUGUCUGAAAUAUUAUCCAUACUUCAUUUACGAGCGAAUGUCCUUGAACCAUUAAGUAUAAUUUUUUUUAAGAAAAUUAAAUUAAUAAAAGCAAAACUCUGAAUAUAUUUACUUUUUAAUUAAAAUUUAAAUCAAAAUAUAAAAAAUUAUAUAAUAAUGUUGAUAGCAAAUGAUGGCCAAGGAGCUUAUAGAGGGAGCAUUUGGCACAUGAGAAGUGUGAGCUAUGUUGCCAAUUUGUCUUGUACGUCUUGUACAGUGAACCGCCUCAUCCACAAUAAAACGUGCCUUCUUUGUUUUCUCAACCACUGAAUGCAUUCAUACCUUUCAUUUUGCCCAUAAUAAAACGUGCCUUUUGUCCCGAGUUCUUUCAGUAUUUAAGCAGCAAGCACUGGCUCUAAUGGCCACACAAACACUUCCAUCUUAUCUUUGCAAACAAGAACGAGUGAUCAACAAUGCCAGGUGGGCACGCUUCAACUGCUUUCAAUGUUGAUGAAAAUGAUUACCAGAGAUUUAUCGAUGGCCUAAGAUCCAUACUCUCAUUCUCCAGAUCACAUCGUAUCGGUGUGCUCAGGCCACAGACAGAGCCUGUAAGCUGGUUAGAUAUUCGCCUAACUUCUGGUGAUUCCACCAUCUUCUUGAGAAUCGAUCAAAGAAAUCUAUACGUGCGUGGCUAUUCGAGAGAUAACGGUAGAACAUUUUGGGAGUUUUCGGAUUCAUCUCUGAUUUCUGGAUCGAGACCUCUCGCUUAUGGCGGAAGCUAUAUUACUGGUUACAAUUUGGUUGGUGCUGCCGGCGGAGAUGUUACCCGUGGAACUCUUCAACUGGGUUAUCAAAAUUUGAGGAAUGCCAUUGCUAACCUAGCAAGAACAGAGGACCCGAACUCGACCCAAAACAAUGCAUUGCAGAAUUGUGCUAGAGCACUGCUGAUUCUAACUCAAAUGAUUUCUGAAUCCACUAGGUUUCAAUUAAUCACCAACCACAUUGUCACAAACUGGCACAAUUCUGCACCACUUACUCCACAACUCGUCCGCUUGCAACAGUCCUUUGGCACUUUUUCUAGUGCUGUCCAACGUGCUGACUUCCUCAACCCGACAGGUCAUACACCCUUGCCUAACAUCCGGGAACCUAACGAAGCCAACAUUUGGACCAUAAGUCAAGCCGUUGCUGCACUUGGGAUUUUGCUAAAUGUCCCGCGCACAAGCAGCCGCAUGAAACGCCAAGCUGAUGUUGAUUUUGGCAAUGCUGGUACUGCGGAUAAUGCUGCUGUUGCUGCUGCUGAUACAAAUGUUUCAUACGUGCGUACCUUGGUGAGCAUUGAGUAUGUACGUGUGAACAAUAUUGAUAGUGAAGAUCCUGGUCAACUUUACGGAACAGUGAAGGUCAAGGACUUUUGGGGCGUUCAUCUGGUGUAUGAUCGGAGUUCAAGUGACUACGAGAGCAAAGGUCCUGGCGGAUUUGCCACAUUGACAGGACCUUCUACUGGUAUUUCGGGCGAUGAUGUGUUCGGGAUCAGCGUCAGUUUGUGGGACUAUGACAGCUUGUCCCCUAACGACGAGAUUGCUGAAGGCGACAUUGUGUGGGAACCAAGAAAUGAGAAUCUAACUUUUGCCAAUUACGAUAAGCGUUUGGAGAAGGCUGUGGCUGGUAAAUAUGGCAAUGUUACGGUGGGUUACUCCGUAGUAAGACAAGCUCUCAAUGCCACUGUCAAGGUUUUGCUGAUCAACGGGGAUGAUGAAUCAUCGGCGGAGGUGUAUGGAACAAUCAAAGCUUCGCAAGUUAUAGGGGGAUCUUCAACAUCCCUCACACUGUUUGAGAAAUCGUCAGGUGAAUACGUCCCAGUGAAACCCUAUCAAUCUAUUCCACUAACUCGUUCAGUUGUGGUAGCACCAGUGAGUUCUGGGUUAACAAUCACAGCAGAUUUGUGGGAUUAUGAUACACUGUCACAUGAUGACCAAAUUGCUAAAGGAAGUUUACACUUUGAUGCAUCGGUCGGAACCCAAGCUAAGAGCAUAUACGGUCAAUAUGGUGAAGUGGAAGUAUACGUCACUUUUGAGUGAUCGAGGAAGCAAUACCCCCUUUACCUAACCUUGCCUACCGAUCGGUCAGUUGGGAUACAUAGUAAAUAAAUGGUGUGAGAAGAGGAGGAAUAUUGUUAUGCCGUAAUAUACACACACACACAUAUAUAUAUAUAUAUAUAUAUAUUUUGAAUUGUUGGCAAGAGUUGUGUCUCUGUUAGUGGAUGCUAUCUGUUUUAUUUUGUUUGGAAAUUGGAUGUAAUGCAAAACCAAAUGGGACCAAACAAUAUGUUACUUUUCAAAUAAUAAUAAUAAUAAUGAUAACAAUAUGUCCCAAACUCCAAA
RNAcentral lists this long non-coding RNA (7634 nucleotides) under Theobroma cacao (cacao). Its description in RNAcentral is "long non-coding RNA (TCAC_LNC006450)". Lineage: Eukaryota; Viridiplantae; Streptophyta; Magnoliopsida; Malvales; Malvaceae. The record is from RNAcentral.